This 253-nucleotide ribosomal RNA is filed under the name uncultured bacterium. RNAcentral describes it as "partial 16S ribosomal RNA". It matches the Rfam family "Bacterial small subunit ribosomal RNA", at positions 524 to 776 of the family's 1533-position model. The record is from RNAcentral.
UACGAAGGGGGCUAGCGUUGCUCGGAAUCACUGGGCGUAAAGGGUGCGUAGGCGGGUCUUUAAGUCAGGGGGGAAAUCCUGGAGCUCAACUCCAGAACUGCCUUUGAUACUGAAGAUCUUGAGUUCGGGAGAGGUGAGUGGAACUGCGAGUGUAGAGGUGAAAUUCGUAGAUAUUCGCAAGAACACCAGUGGCGAAGGCGGCUCACUGGCCCGAUACUGACGCUGAGGCACGAAAGCCAGGGGAGCAAACGGG